GAUGAACGCUGGCGGCGUGCCUAAUACAUGCAAGUCGAGCGAAUGGACUAAGAGCUUGCUCUUAUGAAGUUAGCGGCGGACGGGUGAGUAACACGUGGGUAACCUGCCCAUAAGACUGGGAUAACUCCGGGAAACCGGGGCUAAUACCGGAUAACAUUUUGAACCGCAUGGUUCGAAAUUGAAAGGCGGCUUCGGCUGUCACUUAUGGAUGGACUCGCGUCGCAUUAGCUAGUUGGUGAGGUAACGGCUCACCAAGGCAACGAUGCGUAGCCGACCUGAGAUGGUGAUCGGCCACACUGGGACUGAGACACGGCCCAGACUCCUACGGGAGGCAGCAGUAGGGAAUCUUCCGCAAUGGACGAAAGUCUGACGGAGCAACGCCGCGUGAGUGAUGAAGGCUUUCGGGUCGUAAAACUCUGUUGUUAGGGAAGAACAAGUGCUAGUUGAAUAAGCUGGCACCUUGACGGUACCUAACCAGAAAGCCACGGCUAACUACGUGCCAGCAGCCGCCGUAA
RNAcentral lists this ribosomal RNA (515 nucleotides) under uncultured bacterium. RNAcentral describes it as "partial 16S ribosomal RNA". It matches the Rfam family "Bacterial small subunit ribosomal RNA", at positions 28 to 523 of the family's 1533-position model. The record is from RNAcentral.